RNAcentral lists this ribosomal RNA (253 nucleotides) under uncultured bacterium. RNAcentral describes it as "partial 16S ribosomal RNA". It matches the Rfam family "Bacterial small subunit ribosomal RNA", at positions 524 to 776 of the family's 1533-position model. The record is from RNAcentral.
GACGGAGGAGGCAAGCGUUGUCCGGAUUGACUGGGCGUAAAGCGCGUGUAGGCGGGACCUUAAGUCGGUGGUGAAAUCCUCUGGCUCAACCAGAGAACUGCCACCGAAACUGAGGUUCUUGAGGGCAGGAGAGGAGAGUGGAAUUGCUGGUGUAGCGGUGAAAUGCGUAGAGAUCAGCAAGAACACCCGUGGCGAAGGCGACUCUCUGGACUGCUCCUGACGCUGAGACGCGAAAGCCAGGGGAGCGAACGGG